This 812-nucleotide ribosomal RNA is filed under the name Salmonella enterica subsp. enterica. RNAcentral's name for it is "partial 23S ribosomal RNA". It matches the Rfam family "Bacterial large subunit ribosomal RNA", at positions 689 to 1503 of the family's 2925-position model. RNAcentral also lists the same sequence under 1 other name. The record is from RNAcentral. Lineage: Bacteria; Pseudomonadati; Pseudomonadota; Gammaproteobacteria; Enterobacterales; Enterobacteriaceae.
CGGGCGUUAAGUUGCAGGGUAUAGACCCGAAACCCGGUGAUCUAGCCAUGGGCAGGUUGAAGGUUGGGUAACACUAACUGGAGGACCGAACCGACUAAUGUUGAAAAAUUAGCGGAUGACCUGUGGCUGGGGGUGAAAGGCCAAUCAAACCGGGAGAUAGCUGGUUCUCCCCGAAAGCUAUUUAGGUAGCGCCUCGUGAAUUCAUCUCCGGGGGUAGAGCACUGUUUCGGCUAGGGGGCCAUCCCGGCUUACCAACCCGAUGCAAACUGCGAAUACCGGAGAAUGUUAUCACGGGAGACACACGGCGGGUGCUAACGUCCGUCGUGAAGAGGGAAACAACCCAGACCGCCAGCUAAGGUCCCAAAGUCAUGGUUAAGUGGGAAACGAUGUGGGAAGGCCCAGACAGCCAGGAUGUUGGCUUAGAAGCAGCCAUCAUUUAAAGAAAGCGUAAUAGCUCACUGGUCGAGUCGGCCUGCGCGGAAGAUGUAACGGGGCUAAACCAUGCACCGAAGCUGCGGCAGCGACACUGUGUGUUGUUGGGUAGGGGAGCGUUCUGUAAGCCUGUGAAGGUGUGUCGUGAGGCAUGCUGGAGGUAUCAGAAGUGCGAAUGCUGACAUAAGUAACGAUAAAGCGGGUGAAAAGCCCGCUCGCCGGAAGACCAAGGGUUCCUGUCCAACGUUAAUCGGGGCAGGGUGAGUCGACCCCUAAGGCGAGGCCGAAAGGCGUAGUCGAUGGGAAACGGGUUAAUAUUCCCGUACUUGGUGUUACUGCGAAGGGGGGACGGAGAAGGCUAUGUUGGCCGGGCGACGGUU